UACGGAGGGUGCGAGCGUUGUCCGGAAUCAUUGGGCGUAAAGGGCGCGUAGGUGGCCCCUCAAGCGUGCGGUGAAAGUCAGGGGCUCAACCCCUGAUCGGCCGUGCGAACUGGGGAGCUUGAGCACUGUAGAGGCAGGCGGAAUUCCGGGUGUAGCGGUGGAAUGCGUAGAGAUCCGGAAGAACACCGGUGGCGAAGGCGGCCUGCUGGGCAGUUUUGCUGACACUGGAGGCGCGACAGCGUGGGGAGCAAACAGG
This 256-nucleotide ribosomal RNA is filed under the name uncultured bacterium. Its description in RNAcentral is "partial 16S ribosomal RNA". It matches the Rfam family "Bacterial small subunit ribosomal RNA", at positions 524 to 776 of the family's 1533-position model. The record is from RNAcentral.